Molecule: ribosomal RNA, 1387 nt
Filed under: Nocardia otitidiscaviarum IFM 11049
Lineage: Bacteria; Bacillati; Actinomycetota; Actinomycetes; Mycobacteriales; Nocardiaceae
Description: bacterial LSU rRNA
Rfam family: Bacterial large subunit ribosomal RNA
Source: RNAcentral
CCUGAGAGGUGAUGCGUAGCCGAUUGAGGCGAAUUCAGUGAUCCUAUGCUGCCGAGAAAAGCCUCUAGUGAGUUGGUACACGGCCCGUACCCCAAACCGACACAGGUGGUCAGGUAGAGAAUACCGAGGCGAUCGAGAGAACUGUGGUUAAGGAACUCGGCAAAAUGCCCCCGUAACUUCGGGAGAAGGGGGACCCGGGCUGGUGAACACCCUUGCGGUGGGAGCUGGUCGGGGUCGCAGAGACCAGAGAGAAGCGACUGUUUACUAAAAACACAGGUCCGUGCGAAGUCGUAAGACGAUGUAUACGGACUGACGCCUGCCCGGUGCCGGAAGGUUAAGAGGACCGGUUAGCGCUUCGGCGCGAAGCUGAGAAUUUAAGCCCCGGUAAACGGCGGUGGUAACUAUAACCAUCCUAAGGUAGCGAAAUUCCUUGUCGGGUAAGUUCCGACCUGCACGAAUGGCGUAACGACUUCUCUGCUGUCUCAACCACAGACUCGGCGAAAUUGCAUUACGAGUAAAGAUGCUCGUUACGCGCGGCAGGACGAAAAGACCCCGGGACCUUCACUAUAGCUUGGUAUUGGUGUUCGGUACGGUUUGUGUAGGAUAGGUGGGAGACUGUGAAAGCGGCACGCUAGUGUCGUGGGAGUCGUCGUUGAAAUACCACUCUGAUCGUAUUGGACCUCUAACCUCGGACCCUGAUCGGGUUCAGGGACAGUGCCUGGUGGGUAGUUUAACUGGGGCGGUUGCCUCCUAAAAUGUAACGGAGGCGCCCAAAGGUUCCCUCAGCCUGGUUGGCAAUCAGGUGUCGAGUGCAAGUGCACAAGGGAGCUUGACUGUGAGACAGACAUGUCGAGCAGGGACGAAAGUCGGGACUAGUGAUCCGGCACCGGCAUGUGGAAGCGGUGUCGCUCAACGGAUAAAAGGUACCCCGGGGAUAACAGGCUGAUCUUCCCCAAGAGUCCAUAUCGACGGGAUGGUUUGGCACCUCGAUGUCGGCUCGUCGCAUCCUGGGGCUGGAGUAGGUCCCAAGGGUUGGGCUGUUCGCCCAUUAAAGCGGCACGCGAGCUGGGUUUAGAACGUCGUGAGACAGUUCGGUCUCUAUCCGCCGCGCGCGUUAGAAACUUGAGGAAGGCUGUCCCUAGUACGAGAGGACCGGGACGGACGAACCUCUGGUGUGCCAGUUGUUCCGCCAGGAGCACUGCUGGUUGGCCACGUUCGGAAGGGAUAACCGCUGAAAGCAUCUAAGCGGGAAGCCUGUUCCAAGAUGAGGUUUCUCACCCCCUCGAGGGGGUAAGGCCCCCAACAGACCAUUGGGUUGAUAGGCCAGAACUGGAAGCGCGGUAACGUGUGGAGGUGACUGGUACUAAUAGGCCGAGGACUUACCAAC